Molecule: non-coding RNA, 78 nt
Organism: Triticum aestivum (bread wheat)
Lineage: Eukaryota; Viridiplantae; Streptophyta; Magnoliopsida; Poales; Poaceae
Source: Rfam
GUGAGCCGUGUGAUUGGAAACCUUCCCGCAUGGUUUGGAGAGCGUUGAAGACGAAUGAGAGGUUCACCACCACUUCAU